GAUGAACGCUGGCGGCGUGCCUAAUACAUGCAAGUCGAGCGAACAGACGAGGAGCUUGCUCCUCUGACGUUAGCGGCGGACGGGUGAGUAACACGUGGAUAACCUACCUAUAAGACUGGGAUAACUUCGGGAAACCGGUGCUAAUACCGGAUAAUAUAUUGAACCGCAUGGUUCAAUAGUGAAAGACGGUUUUGCUGUCACUUAUAGAUGGAUCCGCGCCGCAUUAGCUAGUUGGUAAGGUAACGGCUUACCAAGGCAACGAUGCGUAGCCGACCUGAGAGGGUGAUCGGCCACACUGGAACUGAGACACGGUCCAGACUCCUACGGGAGGCAGCAGUAGGGAAUCUUCCGCAAUGGGCGAAAGCCUGACGGAGCAACGCCGCGUGAGUGAUGAAGGUCUUCGGAUUGUAAAACUCUGUUAUUAGGGAAGAACAAAUGUGUAAGUAACUAUGCACGUCUUGACGGUACCUAAUCAGAAAGCCACGGCUAACUACGUG
RNAcentral lists this ribosomal RNA (497 nucleotides) under uncultured bacterium. RNAcentral describes it as "partial 16S ribosomal RNA". It matches the Rfam family "Bacterial small subunit ribosomal RNA", at positions 28 to 507 of the family's 1533-position model. The record is from RNAcentral.